This 29-nucleotide small RNA is filed under the name Bombyx mori (domestic silkworm). RNAcentral describes it as "ovarian small RNA-36694". The record is from RNAcentral. Lineage: Eukaryota; Metazoa; Arthropoda; Insecta; Lepidoptera; Bombycidae.
UUAGACAUGUGUGUUUUAGUCGGAACUGA